This 301-nucleotide ribosomal RNA is filed under the name uncultured bacterium. Its description in RNAcentral is "partial 16S ribosomal RNA". It matches the Rfam family "Bacterial small subunit ribosomal RNA", at positions 509 to 807 of the family's 1533-position model. The record is from RNAcentral.
CAGUCGCCGCGGUAAUACGUAGGUGGCAAGCGUUGUCCGGAAUUAUUGGGCGUAAAGCGCGCGCAGGUGGUUUAAUAAGUCUGAUGUGAAAGCCCACGGCUCAACCGUGGAGGGUCAUUGGAAACUGUUAAACUUGAGUGCAGGAGAGAAAAGUGGAAUUCCUAGUGUAGCGGUGAAAUGCGUAGAGAUUAGGAGGAACACCAGUGGCGAAGGCGGCUUUCUGGCCUGUAACUGACACUGAGGCGCGAAAGCGUGGGGAGCAAACAGGAUUAGAUACCCGCGUAGUCCCUGUCUCUUAUAC